AACGAACGUUGGCGGCGUGGUUGAGGCAUGCAAGUCGAACGAGAAACCCCGGCUUCGGUUGGGGCGGUACAGUGGCGUAAGGGUGAGUAAUGCAUAGAUAACCUGUCCUGGUGAAGGGGAUAACUUCGCUAACGCGGGGCUAAUACCCUAUAAGACCACGAGGUCACCUGGCUUUGGGGUCAAAGUUUGGGAUCCUGCGGGACCUUUCGCACUAGGAGGGAUCUAUGUCGCAUCAGGUAGUUGGCGGGGUAACGGCCCACCAAGCCUACGACGCGUAGCCGGCCUGAGAGGGUGAUCGGCCACAUCGGGACUGAGACACUGCCCGGACUCCUACGGGAGGCUGCAGUUCGGAAUCAUUCGCAAUGGGCGAAAGCCUGACGAUGCGACGCCGCGUGCGGGAUGAAGGCCUUCGGGUUGUAAACCGCCGUCACCGGUUAGGAAAUGCGCGGAGGUGAAUAGCCUUCGUGUUUGACAAAAGCUGGAGAGGAAGCGCCGGCUAAUUCCGUGCCAGCAGCCGCGGUAAUACGGAAGGCGCAAACGUUGUUCGGUGUCACUGGGCAUAAAGGGUACGUAGGCGGCUUGGCUUGUCGGAAGUGAAAGCCCCCAGCUCACCUGGGGAAUUGCCUUCGAAACGGCCAGGCUUGAGGACCGGAGGGGUGAGCGGAACGUUGGAUGUAGGGGUGAAAUCCUUAGAUAUGCAACGGAACGCCGGAGGUGAAGACGGCUCACUGGACGGUUACUGACGCUGAGGUACGAAAGCGUGGGGAGCGAACAGGAUUAGAUACCCUGGUAGUCCACGCCGUAAACGAUGGGCACUACGUAGGGGGGCUCCUACAGCCUCCCUGCCGUAGCAAAUGCGUUAAGUGCCCCGCCUGGGGAGUAUGGUCGCAAGGCUAAAACUCAAAGGAAUUGACGGGGGCUCACACAAGCGGUGGAGGAUGUUGCUUAAUCCGAAGCAACGCGUAGAACCUUACCCGGGCUUGAACUGCCAGGAUUAGUCUCUUGAAAGAGAGGUGACGCCCUUGGGUGGAACUGGUAGAGGUGUUGCAUGGCUGUCGUCAGCUCGUGUCGUGAGAUGUCGGGCUAAGUCCCUUAACGAGCGAAACCCUUGUCUCUAGUUGCCAGCGGGUUAUGCCGGGCACUCUAGCGAGACUGCCGGUGUUAAACCGGAGGAGGGUGGGGACGACGUCAAGUCAUCAUGGCCCUUACGUCCGGGGCUGCAAACGUCCUACAAUGGCCGGUACAAUGAGCUGCGACACCGCGAGGUGAAGCGAAUCUCUAAAACCGGCCCCAGUUCGGAUUGCAGGCUGAAAUUCGCCUGCAUGAAGUCGGAAUCGCUAGUAAUCGCGUAUCAGCAUGACGCGGUGAAUACGUUCCUGAGCCUUGUACACACCGCCCGUCAAGCCACGAAAGCCGGGGGUGCCCUAAGAUCUGUACCGAACCCAUCCGCAAGGAAGGGACGGAAGGAUCCACGGCAAACCUGGUGAUUGGG
RNAcentral lists this ribosomal RNA (1492 nucleotides) under uncultured bacterium. Its description in RNAcentral is "16S ribosomal RNA". It matches the Rfam family "Bacterial small subunit ribosomal RNA". The record is from RNAcentral.